RNAcentral lists this ribosomal RNA (410 nucleotides) under Microbacterium sp. RNAcentral describes it as "bacterial SSU rRNA". It matches the Rfam family "Bacterial small subunit ribosomal RNA", at positions 78 to 502 of the family's 1533-position model. Lineage: Bacteria; Bacillati; Actinomycetota; Actinomycetes; Micrococcales; Microbacteriaceae. The record is from RNAcentral.
GCUUGCUUGGUGGAUCAGUGGCGAACGGGUGAGUAACACGUGAGCAACCUGCCCUGGACUCUGGGAUAAGCGCUGGAAACGGCGUCUAAUACUGGAUAUGAGCCUCUUCCGCAUGGUGGGGGUUGGAAAGAUUUUUUGGUCUGGGAUGGGCUCGCGGCCUAUCAGCUUGUUGGUGAGGUAAUGGCUCACCAAGGCGUCGACGGGUAGCCGGCCUGAGAGGGUGACCGGCCACACUGGGACUGAGACACGGCCCAGACUCCUACGGGAGGCAGCAGUGGGGAAUAUUGCACAAUGGGCGAAAGCCUGAUGCAGCAACGCCGCGUGAGGGAUGACGGCCUUCGGGUUGUAAACCUCUUUUAGCAGGGAAGAAGCGAAAGUGACGGUACCUGCAGAAAAAGCGCCGGCUAACU